Molecule: ribosomal RNA, 248 nt
Filed under: uncultured Actinomycetales bacterium
Lineage: Bacteria; Bacillati; Actinomycetota; Actinomycetes; Actinomycetales
Description: partial 16S ribosomal RNA
Rfam family: Bacterial small subunit ribosomal RNA
Source: RNAcentral
CAGGGUACUCGAGUGGCGAACGGGUGAGUAACACGUGGGUGAUCUGCCCUGCACUUCGGGAUAAGCCUGGGAAACUGGGUCUAAUACCGGAUAGGAGCCAUUUUUAGUGUGAUGGUUGGAAAGUUUUUUAGGUGUAGGAUGAGCUCGCGGCCUAUCAGCUUGUUGGUGGGGUAAUGGCCUACCAAGGCGGCGACGGGUAGCCGGCCUGAGAGGGUGGACGGCCACAUUGGGACUGAGAUACGGCCCAG